This 678-nucleotide non-coding RNA is filed under the name Pristionchus pacificus. Lineage: Eukaryota; Metazoa; Nematoda; Chromadorea; Rhabditida; Neodiplogasteridae. The record is from RNAcentral.
AAAUUUUAAAUUUGAUCAUGGUUUAAGAUGGUUUAAAAUGGUAUUAUCUAUUUUUGAUUUACAGCGUGGGCAAUGAAUUUUUACCCCGGCAAAUUAUCGUUUGUAAAAUAUUUGUUCCAGAAUAAUCGGCUAGACUUAUUAAAGCUUGUACUUUAAUUGAUUUUUAUUAUAAUAUUGUUAUUUAUCACUUAAAAAGUUUAAGGUAGAAUUAGAAUUUAUUAAAUGGUAUUUAUUAUAAUAUUAAAUUUUGGUGAACGAAUUAGAUUAGUACCUAAUUAGACAAAAAUUAAAAGAGCAGGAGUAAAGUUGUAUUUAAACUGAAAAGAUAUUGGCAGGUCUUCUAAAUUAUCUUUGGAGGCUGAGUAGUAACUGAGAACCCUCAUUGACUACUUAUUUUUUAGACUCAUGUAUGAUCGUUUAUUUUAUUCUUAAGGAUUAUAAGUAAAAAUUAUUCUUUAUUAAAAUAGAUAUAUACCUGGUUUAUGGAGAAAGUAAAACUUGGCCUACAAUAAAAUAUUUUAUGGAUAAGUUUUUUAGUAGAAAUUUUGAAAUUGUAAAAGAUAGUAAGAAAUUUUUUAUAUAUUUCUGAAGGGUAUCUAGAGACGGUACAAAUCAUCCAUCAAUUGCCUCAAAGGGAGUAAGUUGUAGUAAAGUAGAUUAAGGGGAACCUCAAUCUAG